GUGUCAGCCGCCGCGGUAAUACAGAGGGGGCAAGCGUUAUUCGGAAUUAUUGGGCGUAAAGGGCGCGUAGGCGGCUUUGCAAGUGACGGGUGAAAGCCCUCGGCUUAACCGAGGAACUGCCUGUCAGACUGUGAGGCUUGAGACCGGGAGAGGUGAGUGGAAUUCCCAGUGUAGCGGUGAAAUGCGUAGAUAUUGGGAGGAACACCAGUGGCGAAGGCGGCUCACUGGACCGGAACUGACGCUGAGGCGCGAAAGCGUGGGGAGCAAACAGGAUUAGAAACCCGUGUAGUCC
Molecule: ribosomal RNA, 292 nt
Filed under: uncultured bacterium
Lineage: Bacteria
Description: partial 16S ribosomal RNA
Rfam family: Bacterial small subunit ribosomal RNA
Source: RNAcentral